AUGUAGACUCUAAUAUAAGCAAUAAUGUAGGUCGAUAUGUAUUGAGGAUUUGUAUAUUACAAGCAUUGAUCUGUACAUAGAAGACAACAGAUAUAUGUAGGGUUCUUUAGUAGCAUGCUCUGCUUGCGUGGGUAUUUGAAGCCGUUGAGGCUUUUAAGUGUUGCAGGAAUAAUGUUUAGAACCUCAUAGCUAUCCUUGGCUGAGUCAAGUUAGAAGAAGUACUCGAGGAACCCCA
RNAcentral lists this long non-coding RNA (235 nucleotides) under Sorghum bicolor (sorghum). Its description in RNAcentral is "long non-coding RNA (SBIC_LNC004278)". The record is from RNAcentral. Lineage: Eukaryota; Viridiplantae; Streptophyta; Magnoliopsida; Poales; Poaceae.